RNAcentral lists this ribosomal RNA (440 nucleotides) under uncultured bacterium. RNAcentral's name for it is "partial 16S ribosomal RNA". It matches the Rfam family "Bacterial small subunit ribosomal RNA", at positions 338 to 795 of the family's 1533-position model. The record is from RNAcentral.
CCUACGGGAGGCAGCAGUGGGGGAUAUUGCACAAUGGGGGGAACCCUGAUGCAGCGACGCCGCGUGGGUGAAGAAGCGCCUCGGCGCGUAAAGCCCUGUCAGCAGGGAAGAAAAUGACGGUACCUGAAGAAGAAGCCACGGCUAACUACGUGCCAGCAGCCGCGGUAAUACGUAGGGGGCAAGCGUUAUCCGGAUUUACGGGGUGGAAAGGGGGCGCAGACGGCGAUGCAAGCCAGGAGUGAAAGCCCGGGGCCCAACCCCGGGACUGCUCUUGGAACUGCGUGGCUGGAGUGCAGGAGGGGCAGGCGGAAUUCCUGGUGUAGCGGUGAAAUGCGUAGAUAUCAGGAGGAACACCGGUGGCGAAGGCGGCCUGCUGGACUGCAACUGACGUUGAGGCCCGAAAGCGUGGGGAGCAAACAGGAUUAGAUACCCCUGUAGUC